Marasmius sp. AFHP31 is the source of this 96-nucleotide non-coding RNA. The record is from the annotation of a GenBank genome assembly. Lineage: Eukaryota; Fungi; Basidiomycota; Agaricomycetes; Agaricales; Marasmiaceae.
UGCCCCAUGGCUGAGUUGGUUACAGCGUCCGACUGUUAUUCUGUGUUGGCAUGAAAAUCAAUCGGAAGGUCGUGAGUUCGAGCCUCACUGGGGCAG